This 138-nucleotide non-coding RNA is filed under the name Eubacterium ruminantium. RNAcentral's name for it is "FMN riboswitch (RFN element)". It matches the Rfam family "FMN riboswitch aptamer (RFN element)". From Rfam's summary of the family: The RFN element is a highly conserved domain that is found frequently in the 5'-untranslated regions of prokaryotic mRNAs that encode for flavin mononucleotide (FMN) biosynthesis and transport proteins. This element is a metabolite-dependent riboswitch that directly binds FMN in the absence of proteins. The record is from RNAcentral. Lineage: Bacteria; Bacillati; Bacillota; Clostridia; Eubacteriales; Eubacteriaceae.
UUUCUUCGGGGCAACGUGUGAUUCGUGACCGGUGGUAACCAGUGAGAAUUAGAAAUAUAUAGCUGGAAGCCCACGAGCUUUAAUUAGCUGAUCUGGUGAGAUUCCAGAGCCGACAGUAUAGUCUGGAUGGAAGAGGAA